This 443-nucleotide ribosomal RNA is filed under the name uncultured bacterium. RNAcentral describes it as "bacterial SSU rRNA". It matches the Rfam family "Bacterial small subunit ribosomal RNA", at positions 331 to 792 of the family's 1533-position model. The record is from RNAcentral.
CCAGACUCCUACGGGAGGCAGCGGUGGGGAAUAUUGCACAAUGGGGGAAACCCUGAUGCAGCGACGCCGCGCGAGUGAAGAAGUAUCUCGGUACGUAAAGCUCUAUCAGCAGGGAAGAAAAUGACGGUACCUGACUAAGAAGCCCCGGCUAACUACGUGCCAGCAGCCGCGGUAAUACGUAGGGGGCAAGCGUUAUCCGGAUUUAUUGGGUUUAAAGGGUGCGCAGGCGGCGGGUCAAGCAAGCGGUAAAAUAGCGGGGCUCAACCCCGUCGAGCCGUUUGAACUGGCGCGCUUGAGUUCAGGCGAGGUAGGCGGAAUUCGUGGUGUAGCGGUGAAAUGCAUAGAUAUCACGAAGAACUCCGAUUGCGAAGGCAGCUUACCAGUCUGCGACUGACGCUCAGGCACGAAAGUUUGGGUAUCGAACAGGAUUAGAUCCCCUAGUA